This 67-nucleotide transfer RNA is filed under the name Ziczacella heptapotamica. RNAcentral's name for it is "tRNA-Ser". The record is from RNAcentral. Lineage: Eukaryota; Metazoa; Arthropoda; Insecta; Hemiptera; Cicadellidae.
AAGAGAUUAUGAACUAGAAAUAGCUGCUAACUAAUUUCUAAAGCGGUUUAAUUCCGUUUAUCUCUUA